Long non-coding RNA from Homo sapiens (human), 4738 nucleotides. Ensembl annotates it as GMDS divergent transcript. Its record names the gene GMDS-DT. The record is from Ensembl. Lineage: Eukaryota; Metazoa; Chordata; Mammalia; Primates; Hominidae.
ACCGCGCGGGAGGGGCGGGGCCUGCCGCCGCCACCGCCUCAGGGAAGAGGAAGGAGGCCGCGGCUUCGCGUCCCGCCUCUCGCCUGGCUGGCCGUGGGGGGCCUGGACGCAGUGGCCUCCCGAAUCUCCCAGGACCCUAAUAUCGCCCGAGGAUGCUGGGAGGAACGCUGAGCCGACCUCUCCGUUAGGCUGAAGAUUGCACAAACCAUGCUAAUGGCCAGCAUGGAUGGAGGGAGCGUGUGAGAUGUGUGGGGCAGCGUGCUGCAUCUCAGCCAACUCCAGGAGAUGGAACGAAGUCUGUUUGUGGAAACACCCUUCCCCUCUGUUUACUUGGACCUGAUUUUGAAAGUAACAAGUCACUUUAUUUGGGCUGGAGGAAAAAGCACUAAACCAGAUGUUGAGGUGACCGGGAUUCCUGGAAGACAUUCUUCUCUCCAACGAGACACAUGAUGCAUGAAGUAGGAGCCCCUGGCAAGGAGCCCAGGCUGCCAUGGCCUCGCUCGCUCCUGCUUCCCGGCAUGGCCCCGAGGCUAGCUGCCUCUGUACUGCCUGAGCAUCGUCCCCUGGCGUGUCACCAGACUACCCACUACCUGUGCUUGCACCUGCAGGUGGGCAGUUCAGUCGUUGCAGGCUGAAGCUCCCUGUCACAGGAGUCCAUCAGCACUGGAGUUUACCAAAUGGCCCAGUCCAGGAAGCAUGCUCAUGGCAAUACCCGGAGUCUCCACUGCAAGACCAGAGUGACGGAGGCAGCAGAGCUCCUCAGCAGGCCAGGAGUCUCCAGAGGCACUGCCGAAUGUCUAAGAAGCAACCUCAUUGUAUUCCCAAGACCUGGGAAUCCAGGUCUCGCAGAUACGAUGAUACAAUCUAUAGCCAGGACAUCUCUUCAUGUGUAGGCCAAGCUAUAAAUAAAGGGUGGACUGACCUUGUCAACUGUUAAAUUGGAGCCGUGGUGCGUUGCCUAGAACAUUGCGGAUGACCCCGAGCAGCACAGCAGAUCAACGGCUGAGAAAGAGCUCAUUCAGCUCAUCUAACUAGGAUGCUGUCCUGCCAGAGCCCUGGGGGUUCUCGUCUCCUGGGGCAAAAGCAGCAUGCAACCCUUAUGAACCCAUCUUGGAAGGCAUUCGGGGAGCCCAAGACAAGACCAUUGGGAGCCUCAGGGUCACUUGUGGGGGUCUCUGUGCUGGACGGCUGUACCUCUCAUGAAAUGGACAACUGACCAUAAGAAGGAGGUAAGUUACGCAUGGACGGGAAAAUAAGAAGCUCCUACUUAGGGCUGUGAUAUGUGCGGUAACCAUUUAACGUUAAUAGCAUCCAUGUGAGACAGGUGCUAGUACUGCCCCAUUUCAUAUUGGCGGACAUUGAGGCACACAGACUGUAUGACUUGCCCAAGGCUGCCCACCUGGUUAGGGGAGCUCCAGGAUUCCAAUCCAGUCCGAACUCAACACGAGGGGUGGCACCUACAGGCUGGGGUCAAUCUGGAAGACUGCCUGUUGUAUGGCCUGGCAACUAAAAAUUGUUUUUUACAUUUUUAAAUGGUUGACAAAAUUAAAAUAAGAGAAUAUUUCAUGACAUCAUCAAAUUACACGAAAUGCAAAUUUCAGCAUCUACAAAUACAGUUUGAUUGGGACACAGCCACCCUCAUCCGUUUGCAGGCUAUCCCUGGCUGCUUACAGGGUCCACAUAGUCCAUAAAGCCUGAGAUAUUUACUAUCUGGCCUUUUACAGAAAAAGUCCCCAAACACUAAUCUGAAAUGUUUGCAUCAGAACCCCUUGUGGGGCUUGUUAGAAUGCAGCUCCCUGGUCCCACACCCAGUCUCUGAUUCAGUAAGUCUGGAGCAGGGCCUGGGAAUUUACAUUUCAAAAUAAUUUCCCAGGUGAUGCUCAUACUGGUCCACAGACCACUUUGAGAGCCACUACCCUAAACCCCAGUGCUCUACUGCUUGUUGUCAGGAUGGCUGGGUCAGGUGAGAAAGAAGCCUAGACAUCCCUAGAGCCACCUGCUGUGCAGCCACCUUUUGAGAAAGUGUCCCCAGUGAUCUUUUCCCAGGUUAGCCUUUGUGGCUUGGGCAUCCAGCCUUUCAGAGAUAUGAAACCACACACGUCUUCAGAGUGAACAGCUGCUCACCCCGAUGUGCUCAAGGGGUGCAGGAUGUGGACACAUCCUACUGAAUGAGCCAGACAACGUAACUGGAUCUGUCCAGAACACCACGAUGGGUGACAUUGCCAUCUGCAGCAGUGCUGUACUUCCUCCCGCCAAUUUGUAAAGUGCAGACAGGAUGCUGGAUCAACUGGCUGCUGCUGAGGCCAGUGACCUCUAGGGCGUAUUCCCACGUUCCUUUGCAGUAGCUGCUCACCUUUGUAAGCAUGUGAGUUAUUCGUGCUGUCUGUUGUGAUCCUAAGGAAUCCAAUGGUCAGGACCAGAACUUCUGAAGUACAGCCCAGCAUUGCCGUCUGGCAUCCCCAGAAAGCAGAUUUUGAGAUUGGCAUGAUGGCCGUUAAGCAGGGCGUUCUCUCUGGAGCAAUGUCUAGCCGGGGUCGGAGUGGGGAGAGAGAGAGGGGGGCUGCUGAGAAUAUCACAGAGAGAUGGCAGCCUUUCUGCAGCAUAGGCCUAAGUGCACACUCACCUGGCUAUCACUGAGAGGACUCUCUGUUCAACAGGGCCACUCAGGGCUUCCCCUGCAUGGAGAUCUGAGUGUCCAGGGAGGGGACGUGGUGAGCAUUUCUCUGGUCAAAGUGUGCAAAGCAAAAUCUGCCCCAUUCCUGCCAAAGUGGUUGACAUGGAGGAAAGGGGAGUGCCAGUUCUGUAGGCUGAGGUGGUGGCUGUUAGAACUGCUCCUAGGCUAGUUGGUGUUCUGGAAGGUUCCCCUCUAUGUGAGAUGAAAGAGCAUAUCUUUAAGAGCUGCAACUUUGAAGCUCUAAUAUAGAAUGCUUUUGGUGGCAAGCAUUACUUCGGAAAGGGCUUGAAGACCCCUGAAGAUCCUUGGUGGCCUAGGCAGUUCCUUUAUUGCCAGGGCUGUGCAGGACUAAGCUUCAACAGCGCCACCAUGUGACAAGAAGCAAUUGCAGUGGUGCAUUGAGGGUUUUCUUUUGCACUGAGAACUCAAGUCCCACUUUCACCCUUGGACCUGGUAAAUCUUUGGGGUUCAUGGACAAUUCUGAGGAGGAGAUACUUAAGAGAGUGAUGUUAGAAUUUGAUGUUUUGGUUUAUUGUAUCAGAAAAUAAAAGAAAUUGGAUUUAUAGCUCAGUUUGUGGUUCAUAUCAAUUUAAAUAGCUUUGAAAUGCUGAUAGGACCAUCACGGUUUUUUGGUUGCUGAAAUCCCAUAACUAAAGCAAUGCCUCAAUAAGCUUUUAAUCCACAGCCCCCAUGCCCAGGUCUAUAACAAAGUUUUUAUAUGCCUAUGGGGAAAAACAAUUAUGAGGCAAACAUUUAUAAAGUUAAAUUUAUUACGUUUCUACUCCUAUUUUUUAUUCUGCUGGUGUAUUGUUAUAUAUUUUCCUACAUAUUUAAACAUUUUCUUCCUCUUAUAAAAUGUUAGUGAUUUUAAAUGAUGGUGUGUCCGGAAUUGGUUCCUUCUGGUGGGUUCAGUCUUGCUGACUUCAAGAAUGAAGCCACAGAUGCUCACAGUGAGUGUUACAGCUCUUAAAGAUGGUGUGUCCAAAGUUUGUUCCCUCAGAUGUUCAGAUGUCUCCAGAGUUUCUUCCUUCUGGUGGGUUCGUGGUCUUGCUGACUUCAGGAGUGAAGCCGCAGACCUUUGCAGUGAGUGUUACAGCUCUUAAAGGUGGUGCGUCCAGAGUUGUUUCUUCCUCCCAGUGGGAUUAUGGUCUCGUGCAGACCUUGCAUUGAGUGUUACAGCUCUUAAAGGGGGCACGGACCUGACCAUCCUGGCUAAAAUACAGUGAAACCCCAUCUCCACUAAAAUUACAAAUAUUAGCCCGGAGUGGUGGCAGGUGCCCAUAGUCCCAGCUACUCCGGAGGCUGAGACAGGAGAAUAGUGUGAACCCGGGACGCGGAGCUUGUAGUGAACAGAGAUUGCGUCACUGCACUCCAGCCUGGGCGACAGAGCGAGACUCCAUCUCAAAAAACAAGAACAAAAAAACAAAAAAAAGGCAGCGCAGACCCAGAGUAAGCAACAGCAAGAUUUAUUGCCAAGAGCCAAACAACAAACCUCCCACAGCGUGGAAGCAGACCCAAGUGGGUUGACACUGCUGGCUCAGGUGGUCUGCUUUUAGUCCCUUAUUUGGCCUCACCAACAUCCUGCUGAUUGGUCCAUUUUACAGAGAGCUGAUUGGUCCAUUUUACAGAGUGCUGAUUGGUCCAUUUUGACAGAGUGCUGAUUGGUGCAUUUAUAAACCCUUAGCUAGACACAUAGCGCUGAUUGGUGCAUUUACAAUCCUUUAGCUAGACAGAAAAGUUCUCCAAGUACCCUACCCGAUUAGCUAGACACAGAGCCCUGAUUGGUGCGUUUACAAACCUUUAGUUAGACACAGAGUGCUGAUUGGUGCGUUUACGAUCCUUUAGCUAGACAGAAAAGUUUUCCAAGUCCCCACCAGACCCAGAAGCCCAGCCAGCUUCACCUCUCAAUGGGAUUUUAAAAAAUGUUUUUACUUGGCAAAUAAAGACUUAGCAACCUAAUACCUACCUCUCAAAAUAUUUGUAAAUCAUACUGAUCUAUAAAAUCUAUUAAGUAUGAGAUUUGUUGAUAUAAUGACUCAUAAAAGCAAUGUAAUCCAAAUUAAA